GAUGAACGCUGGCGGCGUGCCUAAUACAUGCAAGUCGAGCGAACAGACGAGGAGCUUGCUCCUUUGACGUUAGCGGCGGACGGGUGAGUAACACGUAGGUAACCUACCUAUAAGACUGGGAUAACUUCGGGAAACCGGAGCUAAUACCGGAUAAUAUUUCGAACCGCAUGGUUCGAUAGUGAAAGAUGGCUUUGCUAUCACUUAUAGAUGGACCUGCGCCGUAUUAGCUAGUUGGUAAGGUAACGGCUUACCAAGGCAACGAUACGUAGCCGACCUGAGAGGGUGAGCGGCCACACUGGAACUGAGACACGGUCCAGACUCCUACGGGAGGCAGCAGUAGGGAAUCUUCCGCAAUGGGCGAAAGCCUGACGGAGCAACGCCGCGUGGGUGAUGAAGGUCUUCGGAUCGUAAAACUCUGUUAGUAGGGAAGAACAAACGUGUAAGUAACUGUGCACGUCUUGACGGUACCUAAUCAGAAAGCCACGGCUAACUACGUG
This 497-nucleotide ribosomal RNA is filed under the name uncultured bacterium. Its description in RNAcentral is "partial 16S ribosomal RNA". It matches the Rfam family "Bacterial small subunit ribosomal RNA", at positions 28 to 507 of the family's 1533-position model. The record is from RNAcentral.